AACGUAGGACGCAAGCGUUAUCCGGAGUUACUGGGCGUAAAGCGCGGGCAGGCGGCUGUCUAAGUCUGAUGUGAAAGCGCCCGGCUUAACCGGGCGAGGCCAUUGGAAACUGGAGAGCUGGAGGGCAGUAGAGGCAGGCGGAAUUCCGGGUGGAGUGGUGAAAUGCGUAGAGAUCCGGAGGAACACCAGAGGCGAAGGCGGCCUGCUGGGCUGCACCUGACGCUGAGCCGCGAAAGCCAGGGGAGCGAACGGG
RNAcentral lists this ribosomal RNA (253 nucleotides) under uncultured bacterium. RNAcentral describes it as "partial 16S ribosomal RNA". It matches the Rfam family "Bacterial small subunit ribosomal RNA", at positions 524 to 776 of the family's 1533-position model. The record is from RNAcentral.